Long non-coding RNA from Rosa chinensis, 1160 nucleotides. RefSeq lists it as uncharacterized. The record is from RefSeq and is a predicted model, not a curated record. NCBI's taxonomy places the organism in Eukaryota, Viridiplantae, Streptophyta, Magnoliopsida, Rosales, Rosaceae. The transcript has 5 exons.
UUCUUUCUCUUCUUUUGCAAAGCAGAUUCGCUCUUUGCCUGAUGACGCAAAUAUUGACAAAUCUAUAGUUACAAAAACUAGAUAGCUUGAGACUGCUUGAUAAAACUAAAUACAUCCAAUAAGAAAUUCUGUAUAUCAAUUCAUUUUAGAAUGAAAAUAGAUUGCUUCUUAGGAGCCCGUGUGCAGCAAUGUAGUAUCUGUCUUGGUGAUUCAAACAAUAUUUUUCUGAUUCUAAAGCUAUACACUCUUUAAUUUGCAGGAAGCUAGAGCAUUAUUAGGAACUAUGUGAAUAUCGUGAAGGAAACAUAGAAGCUGGUUUACAUGUAUUUGAAGGGGAAUAUAUAUUGAUGCAGAGACUCUAAAAAUUAAAGUCACCCUUUCUUGAGCAAGCAAACAUUGUAGGAGAUGUUCUUCAAGUUAUAGUACCCCACCUAUGUCUAUAAAUGCUGUCAGCUUACUUCUGGAAGCAUAUGUCUUCAAACAAAAUCAUUGCAAAGUCUUGGGAGGCUUAAAGUACUUUCCAAAGAGGCCUUGGCAAAGAAACAAUCCACCAAAACUGGAGAGGCCGUUGAAUUAUUGUCAACAGGAAAGAGCUAUAUUAGUGCAGCUAAUGAAAGACUAGACAAUGUGUUCGGCAAUCUCACCAAUCAGCGAGGAAUGGUUCUUCCUUUUGAACCGCUCUCAGCUACAUUUGAUAAAAUCAGAUAUGCUGUUGACAUGCCACAGUUCAGACCAUACGAUAGAAGUUCCAGGGACCAUAGUCCAGAUGAAGCAAAGGGAAAGAUUCAGGAGACAACUAUUCAUUUGCGGAUUGAAAAUCAGGGAGAUAAAAUGAACUGUGAAAAUGGCGCAACUGAAGGCACAUAGCUAGCAGAAAAGGUUUGUUAGAAGCUGACAUUUUUUCGUGCGGACCGAAUCUUGGUCUCUCUGUAUCCAGUAAGAAUUUAUGAUUUUUUGUUUUCGAUUUAUGUUUUCGUGAUUAUACGUAACAAUAAGAAUAAACAAAGUAUUGGUGUUAAAUAACCUGUGAGAGUGAAUUUUAGAUCCAUAAAUGAUUUAGGACAAUAUUGGCCUCAGAGAGUGUACGAUCAAUAAUAUUUUUGUCCAUGAGUUGUAGAUCGAUUCAUUUGUACGACACGUUCCAGUCUUGCUAUGUCUAA